Molecule: non-coding RNA, 1453 nt
Organism: Coffea arabica (coffee)
Lineage: Eukaryota; Viridiplantae; Streptophyta; Magnoliopsida; Gentianales; Rubiaceae
Source: RefSeq, a predicted model, not a curated record
UGCUACAGUGCCUAUAGUUAUGGUAACGAUAUUAGGGAAACCUGCUAUUAUAGGUUUCUAUUACCUUUAGUGACAGAUCAAAUCUUUUAGUGACUUUUUAAAUAUUAUAUUAAAAUAAUUAAUAUUAACUUUAGUAAGUUUUUAAUUAAAACUAGUAAGUAUAUGCCUGAAAGAUAAGAUUUAGUCAGAAAUAGAAAUUUACACUUUGAGUAAUUUAAUUUACUUAUUAUUUGACAAAAUUUACUUAUGUUUAAAUUAAACUUACCAAUACUGAAAGUAAAAAAUGUACAUAUUUAAGUAAAAAAACGGUUUUGGGUAUCACCUUUCUUUUUAAAGUUAUCUACCUUCUUCUUAUUCAGUUCCCAGUUCCAAUGAUACGAUUGAAUUCCCAGGCAAAGGUUUCCACUUUGAUCCACACUUUCUCUUUGUUACAAUUGAAUAAAUCUUCUCACUUCAAAAUUUUCAUCUUUAGUUCACACUUUGCUUCUAUCCUUUCUCAUCGUUCGGUUGGGUUUGAGUGCUGCCAUAUGCAAACACAACAAAAGGGUUAGCGACGGUGGUAGCCAGCCAAAGAGCAUAUGAAAAAUAGCAGUGACGAGGCAAAGGUUUCCACUUUGGUCCAUACUUUCUCUUGGUCCAAUUGUUGUUGCUACAAAGGGACAAAAGGCAAAACAGUCCACUCACAAGCGAAAGCGAAGACGAUGCAAAAAUUGCAAGUCAUUUGGACAUGAUAGACGAAAAUGUACUAAAGUGUGCACAGAUGCAUAUGAAACUCACAAUUAUGAUCAUGUUGGGGCACCCAAUAAUGUUGAGAAUGUAAAUUUGAAUCUGAUAGGAUCAUCCGAUGGCCUAUUGCAAUCAGAUUCACAGCAUGGAUGCAAUAAGGAAUUAAUGGAUAGUAAUUGGUUUCAGAUCAUUCCUCCUGGUCAGGCAUUAAUGUGGGCAUGCAAUCCUUCAUUAAUCCAAAGUCAUGUACAAAACACUAGCUUGUUAGGAGAUGAAAAGUAUUCAGUGAAUGAACCAGAUUUCAGCCAAGACCAUUAAGGAAUUUUAUUCUUGAGAGAGUACAAAUGUUUUUGCACGUCUUUGCUCAAAGCUUUUAGGAUGAUUUAAGUUUCUUCGAAGCUUGCUUGGAAAAAAGUUUGGUGAUCAAAUUUCAGAUAUUGUUAGCAUCCAAGUGCUCUUGGGUUUGUAAACCAGAAAUGUCAAUCCAAACUGAAGCUUUUGAUAGUGAUAUCAGAGCCCUUGAUGCUGGUGAUCAAAUUCUCAAAUCAAGUUACUAGCCUUUUGAUUGCUUCAGAUUUCUGAAGCCAAAGUCUUUGUGCUCUAAAUUCAGUUCUUGGCCAUGUAAUCUUGUCAUGCUUAGAUAGUUAUAUCUAGUGUCCUGCCAGCUUAAUUUUGAUGCGUAAGUAUCAAUUAUUAAAAGUUAGAUUCAUUCUGAUGCUCAAAAUGA